Molecule: unclassified non-coding RNA, 342 nt
Filed under: soil metagenome
Description: partial contains 5.8S ribosomal RNA, internal transcribed spacer 2, and large subunit ribosomal RNA
Rfam family: 5.8S ribosomal RNA (bases 1-120)
Source: RNAcentral
GAUGAAGAACGUAGCGAAAUGCGAUAAGUAAUGUGAAUUGCAGAAUUCAGUGAAUCAUCGAAUCUUUGAACGCACAUUGCGCCCGCUAGUAUUCUGGCGGGCAUGCCUGUCCGAGCGUCAUUUCAACCCUCAAGCCCCCGGGCUUGGUGUUGGGGAUCGGCGAGCCUCCGCGCCCGCCGUCCCCUAAUCUAGUGGCGGUCUCGCUGUAGCUUCCUCUGCGUAGUAGCACACCUCGCACUGGGAAACAGCGCGGCCACGCCGUUAAACCCCCAACUUCUGAACGUUUGACCUCGGAUCAGGUAGGAAUACCCGCUGAACUUAAGCAUAUCAAUAAGCGGAGGA